UACGUAGGGUGCGAGCGUUGUCCGGAAUUAUUGGGCGUAAAGAGCUCGUAGGCGGUUUGUCGCGUCUGCUGUGAAAACUGGAGGCUCAACCUCCAGCCUGCAGUGGGUACGGGCAAACUAGAGUGCGGUAGGGGAGAUUGGAAUUCCUGGUGUAGCGGUGGAAUGCGCAGAUAUCAGGAGGAACACCGAUGGCGAAGGCAGGUCUCUGGGCCAUAACUGACGCUGAGAAGCGAAAGCGUGGGGAGCGAACAGG
RNAcentral lists this ribosomal RNA (253 nucleotides) under uncultured bacterium. RNAcentral's name for it is "partial 16S ribosomal RNA". It matches the Rfam family "Bacterial small subunit ribosomal RNA", at positions 524 to 776 of the family's 1533-position model. The record is from RNAcentral.